UGUCCCAUGGCUUAGUUGGUUACGGCGUCCGACUGUUAUCCUCUCCAAGUUCCAAUCGGAAGAUCGAGAGUUCAAGUCUCUCUGGGACAG
Non-coding RNA from Lyophyllum atratum, 90 nucleotides. NCBI's taxonomy places the organism in Eukaryota, Fungi, Basidiomycota, Agaricomycetes, Agaricales, Lyophyllaceae. The record is from the annotation of a GenBank genome assembly.